CCAUUCUUUAAUCAGGUGUCAACACGGGUAUCUCCGAAAUUGUCAUAUCUUUUGCACUUGAGCUCCUUUUUGGUCCAUUUUCAUAUUUAUUUCGAUCAUCUUGACGAAGGCCAUCAAAUGGUGACAUAAACUCAUAAUUUUAACCUCAUUUCAUUAUAGACUCAAGUCACUCUUUCCGAUCAUGCCAUUUUUGAGCGUCAACACAUGCCCCCCUGUUUUUCGGCAAAAGUAGUAUGCCGAAAAAUAACUUGUACCGUGUUGGUUCUAAGGAAGAUGUCAACACUCCAUCGGCCACGUCGCAUGUGCUUAGAGCGAUAAAUAUAUACCGGCCAUUUAUUUGAGGCGGAUUCUUGAUGCAAACUUGGGUGAAACCUUCUCAACUUCAUUAACAAUCCCAUAGAUAUGUAUCUCAAGGUCAUCCUCCAAACCAUAUUGCUCACCCUUUUGCUAGGAUUUUGCAAAUAGUCAACAAUAAACUUUCUUCAAUCCUUACUUUUUGCCUGCAUAAAAAAUCAUUAGUGGCCGAAGCGAUGGACUUCGAUUCAUCCUUAGCUAUGUUGACGAGACUAAGCAUCGGCUAUUGAAUGAAAUACAAUACACCAUGAUUAACAUAGUAGCCGGAUGCUUGCUGUGCCAACUCUUUUGAAUUGUCAUGCCUAGAAAUAUGAACAAUUUUAAAGCAACCAAGGUAAAUUUUGCAUCUAGGCAUACCUCAAGAUAAACUACAAGUGAUUCGUCAAAACAUUCAUAACCCUUGGAUAUUUGUUGCACUACUCAUAACGAAUCACCAAAAGCCUUAAUAUGUUUAGCACAUAUGGCGAAAGUUCCAAACCGAAUAACAUUGCAUAUUCAGCUUUGAUUAUUGUGCAAUAAAUAUUUUAAGAGACAUGAGGCUUCACAUAACAGCACCAUAUGGAGAUAUAUAAACAAAACCAACACCAUGGCCAUUGUUAUGAAUUCAACAGUCGAAACAUAAUCUCCAUAGCACUAGAGAGACAAGGUUAAUAUUACUUAACAUGUACAUUGUCUCGGUUCCAAUUGAACUAAGGACGAUGUUAGAAUUUCACACCGGCCAUGAUCGGAUAGUUUCUUAGGACGAUAGUUAAUUAUCGGCCAUUAUCAUGAGGUCCAUGUAGAAUUCAUCCAUUAAAGCAUGUAUAGCCGAAAUAAACAAAUAAAAUAGCAAUAAAAUAUUUCGGCCCCUUUGUCUUAGCAACAAAAAUGUAACUAACCAAAUAUAUAGUGAUUUGGUAAUACUCUGUCAUGAUAUGGAAAAUUAUGUUGCAUCCAUGGAUCAAAAUAAGUCCAUGGAGGGUAACUGAUCAUACCUGUGGAUGAAUUCCAUGACAAAGGCAUCAAUGGAAUUGUUGAAGAAAAUGGAUGAUGCGCUAACCGAAGAUUUUGAUGUUGUGAUGCGCACCUUCGGCUUAAUUGUUUGUGUCUUUCAUUAUUUUCCUUCUUCACUUUUAUUGUACUUGUUGCAACAGAAGCAUGCAUAUCAUUUUUGUCUUGAUUGAUCUUCUUGGGAACCCAUGCCAUGUUCCUCUUUCUCAUCUCUUGUGCACUAAAAUUUUGUAAUUUCUUCUUUUGCCAAUACGAUAAGCCGAGUGGGCAUCUCGGCUGUGAUUCUGUUUUGACCAAUGACAAUUCUUUCUUGGCCUUGUGCACUCUCAACUUCUUUUCUUCAGAUUUGGCACUUUGACUCUCAAUAAUUGGUUGCUUCAUCUCAUUGCUUUUAGUAGCCAAUGUCAACACUUUCAUUGGCUCUUUUUCAUUUGAGAUCAAAUCUGAAGUAGCACUUUUACGACCAUCUCUUUUAACGCGGUAAACUUGUUUGACCACCUCUUUCUUCUUCCUUGAGCUUUGGACCGAUUCCUUAUGAUUGAAACGGUCUUUGACGCGUGGUUGUUCAAAUGUUGAUCUCCUUGGAGCUGCAUAGUAUUGGUGAGAUGGUCUAGAAUAAGAUGGAGAAUGUGCCCUUGUAUCAUACCUGUCCCAUAAUGAAUAUGUAUCUAUAUGAGCAUAGGGAGGCAUCCACGGCAUUGGCAUUUGCGGCCCAAAAUAAGGAUAUGAAUAUGUUGCAUUAAAAUUAUUACUUUGCCAAUACCAAUCCUCAUAUUUGCGCCUUGGGGGUGAUCUUGCUUUCUUUGCAUGAUUUGGCCGAUAAGCAUUCUUCUCUUCACUCUUCUUUUGAUAUUUAUCCAAUAGUUCAGCGAAGGUGAUUUUUGAUCUCUUACACUUGCGCUUAUUUUGGCUUUUGUUUUCUUUUGUUUUGCUUCCAUCGAUCAUUGGAUUUGCUUGCUGCCCCCAGUCCUUAGCGUCUCCAUUGUAGCUUCGAUGGAAAUUUUGCCCUCAAGGUUAUGUUCAUUAUGCUCUUCAACAAAUUCUUUACUUGAAAGCUCGAUCCCAUCACAUGCUAUUUUUACCUUCUCUUUAAAUGGAUCGGCUUGAAGCAGCCGAUGCAAAAACUUUCUACCAUCGGGACCAAUCGGAAUAGACUGGUCAUCUCUUGGUGUCUCAACAAAUUUCAAUCGUCCUUUAUCAAUGGCCGAUUUAACUAUUUGACGAAACAUAUUGCAAUCCUCAAAAUUAUGUUUGAACGAAUGAUGCAACCUACAAUACAUUCGUCCUUGAAUUGAUGGCUUAACAUGGUGAUCAAGAAUUCUAAUGUAAUUAUUUUUCAACAACAAAUCAAAGAUUUGAUCACACAUGUUUGAAUCAAAGGUAUACCUUUUGUUUUCUAGCCGAUCUUGUUGUGAGAACAGCUUUGGAGUUAAGCAAACGAAUGGUUCAGAUUUGGAAUCUCCCCAUUCGGCUAUGCAUUGUGUUUUUCACUCUAUCUCCGAUGUCUUUGGAUAAGAUAUUAUAUUAGCAUCGGUUUUCUCAAUAGAAUUUAACCUUGGCUUUAAAUUUCUAAAACGAAGAUAUUUAGAACAUACAUGUCUCAGUUGAGACCAAGUGUAAGCCAAGUAAGAAAUAAGCAAAGCUACCCAACUAGAUAUGAACUUUAGAGAAAGCAACAGGAAAAGCUUUGAUUGUAACAAUAAGUCAUUAUCGGUCUUUAUAAAUGGCGCAAUGGGUUGACCGAUAUGUUCCAUAACAAUUUUACUACUAACAAGUAAAUUACCCUUCUUCAUUGGUCUUUCAAAAUUACUUAUGAGAAUAUUUCUUAUAAAUGCAUCAAUAAUGAAGUUGCAACCAAAUCUGAAAAUAGGUAAAUUACUCGCUAUGCAUACCUCUUCAAAUAUGUUGGGAGAGCAUGAUAGUGGUGCCAUUUGAAGAACAUCUCGCUCCAUCUUUGGAUGGCUCCCCAACACCUUGUCAUCAUCUUUUUCUUAAAUCCGUGCAUCAUUGCUUUGAAGAUUUUUGCCGGCCGAACUUUGUUCGGCUACUUGUUCUUGUCCUUGAAACUUGUCAAUUUCUACGACACGGAACUCAUAGGGCAGGAAGUAGGUUCCAUUAACUUCAGAAAAAAUCAAGCACCAUUGUUUUCCUAUGCUUGCCAUGCCCUUUCUCAAUAAUGCUUGCCUCGUUGGAUUUGAUGGAUUCAGAAUAUAUGCUACUUGAUUCGGCUUUUUCAACCGAAGCACUUUCAUGUUUCGAAUCAUCCUUCUUUUCAUUGAUAGUACCAAUUGGCAAUGCUUCUUUUAUCUGAGCCAAUUCUUUUUCUAUUUAUUUUUGACGGCGAGCGGCAAAAUUAGCUUUAAGCUUUUUCUCAAUUUCAGCCCACUCCGGAUAUGAUUGCCCCCCAAGGCUUUUAGAUUCUUUCGGCAAUGACACACGGGUGUUGCCGAAAUUUUGCAAUUGUGUAGCGGGUGUAUAAUAUGAUGUAGUACUAGGUGAAGGCAUAUGCAGUGUUGUAAGACCAUACUUUUGCUCGCCAAUUUUAUCAAUUGGCAAAGAUUCAUCUUCUUGCAAAACUCUAACUUUUAUUGCGGCAUAAUCAGGAAAUAGCCCCUUUUCAUGUUGUUCAAGGCAAAGAGCACUAAUUCUCUUAUUUUGGGCUAAACUCUUCAAUGCAGCCACCACUACCUCAUCUUCUACAAUGUUGGGCACAACCGCUCCUGUAAAAUUUAUAUUCAUUCGGCUAUAACCAGGAAGGUGUGAAGCCGAAUUAUGAGCAUCUACAGUUGUGUAUGGUGCCGAAGAAUUACUAACAUGAGGUGUUGCAUAUGACGGUUGAGAGUAAUUCGCCAAAUAGCCAUUAGUAGCAUGGCCAAUUCUCUCAUUCAUCGGCAUGGUUGGAUUACUAUAUUGCACAUUAGCUGUCGAUGAAUAAAAGGGUGAAACACUUUCUUGUAUGGCAUUGGAAAUUCUAACUUGGGGUGUUUCAAAUUGAUUAAUCAAACUCAUCAUGUUGCUCAUCGGCAUAUGAAUUUGUGGGGUUGCCGAUGCAUGGGAGUUGGGAUACAUAUGUUGCAUGUUGCUAAAUUUAUAAGAAUUUGAAACAUGAAGAUUGUUUUGCAUCGGCUCUUGCACAUAAUUAGAUGCAUGAUUGAUAAAAUUAGGGCUAGCCGAUACAUUAUGCUCAAUAGGUGAUCCAGCAACAACAUAUGGAUUAUUUGCAUCUACAAAGGGGAAUUGGGUAUUCAUAUUACCUUUCUAGAUUGCAGCAACUUGAUGACGAUCUCUUCGUAGCAAGAACGGGCUGGAGACCGUUCAAAGCUUCUUCCCCAGUGGAGUCGCCAAAAAGUGUGUUCGCACAUGAACACGUCACCGUGUACCCUCGACGCCGGGGGUGAUGCACCGCAGCUCACGUCGAAGGAGACCCGUCCGGAAGCACGGUACGCAGGCAAUCCGGCGGGCGCUUUUGUAGACCCAAAACCCCACACUCCCGGGAGGGACCCCGUCAGGGCGCGCGGCGGCUAUGGGCUGCCCUAGGUCGGCCUGACCGCCCCUAGGGCCUCGUGGAUCGCCGCCCUGCAACAAGAAGAACGAACGAAGAACGAGGAAGAAGAAGAACAAGGGAGAGAGAUAAAGAUAAAGGUAAAAGAUAAUAGAUUGAUUUGUUCGAUUGUGUGUUGUUCAAUCGGCCGUCACCUCUUGUCUAUAUAAGAGGCGGAUGGACUUCCCAUACAAGAAAAUGACUUGCCUUGCCGUCCAAAUCAUCAAAAUCUAACCAAAUUCGGACUUCUUACGACCUCCGGCCCGGAUGUCCGGCUCUAGGCCCGGAUGAUCCGGCCAAGCCCAGAUUUCUGAUAGCAGUCCACUAAUUGGGCUGUAACUUUUGCAUACGAACUCGGAUUAAGACGAUUGUUAUAUGAAAAUCAACCGCCUCGACGAGACGCACAACUUUUCUGUUGAACACUUUUUGAUCUGAGGUCAUCUCGAGGGAGUUUCGGGCUGUUUUCUAACGUCUGAAGCAGAAAAACUUGUCCGGACGUCCGGACGAUUGCCCGGACUGUCCGGCCUUUAUCCGGAUCAUCCGGGAGUUGACCCAGAUCAUCCGGCUUCAGCGCCAACCUUCUGGAAUCUUAGUGCUUCAAUUACCCGGAUGAUCCGGACCCCGGCCCGGAUGAUCCGGCCAACAUUGGUGCAGCGCACGGUUUUGCCUAGAACUUUUGCAUACGACUUCGGAUGGAGACGAUCUUUAUAUCAAAAUCGUCCGUUUCAAUGAGACGAAGAACUUUGCAGUUGUAACAUUUUCCAUCAGAGGUCAUCUUAAUUAGGUUCCAUGCCAUUCUUUAAUCAGGUGUCAACACGGGUAUCUCCGAAAUUGUCAUAUCUUUUGCACUUGAGCUCCUUUUUGGUCCAUCUUCAUAUUUAUUUCGAUCAUCUUGACGAAGGCCAUCAAAUGGUGACAUAAACUCAUAAUUUUAACCUCAUUCCAUUAUAGACUCAAGUCACUCUUUCCGAUCAUGCCAUUUUUGAGCGUCAACAGUA
Molecule: long non-coding RNA, 5883 nt
Filed under: Triticum aestivum (bread wheat)
Lineage: Eukaryota; Viridiplantae; Streptophyta; Magnoliopsida; Poales; Poaceae
Description: long non-coding RNA (TAES_LNC026873)
Source: RNAcentral